UACGUAGGGUGCGAGCGUUGUCCGGAAUUAUUGGGCGUAAAGGGCUCGUAGGCGGUUUGUCGCGUCGGGAGUGAAAACACCGGGCUUAACCCCGUGCCUGCUUCCGAUACGGGCAGACUAGAGGUAUGCAGGGGAGAACGGAAUUCCUGGUGUAGCGGUGAAAUGCGCAGAUAUCAGGAGGAACACCGGUGGCGAAGGCGGUUCUCUGGGCAUUACCUGACGCUGAGGAGCGAAAGUGUGGGGAGCGAACAGG
This 253-nucleotide ribosomal RNA is filed under the name uncultured bacterium. RNAcentral's name for it is "partial 16S ribosomal RNA". It matches the Rfam family "Bacterial small subunit ribosomal RNA", at positions 524 to 776 of the family's 1533-position model. The record is from RNAcentral.